Molecule: long non-coding RNA, 497 nt
Organism: Dermacentor silvarum
Lineage: Eukaryota; Metazoa; Arthropoda; Arachnida; Ixodida; Ixodidae
Exons: 2
Source: RefSeq, a predicted model, not a curated record
UUCGCCUUGCGGAGCGCUUACGGGAAUACUCAGGAGGCAGUGUUUUGAUGGUUAAUUUUCGCACAUGUUUGUAUCGCUUGGUUUCCUGCGUUCCUCUUCAAGUGUCAGGGAUAUUUCUAAUUUGCAAUGCCUAUCUCUAAGUCUCUGGCAGCAUUAUGUUAUUGGCACUUUUGUGAUCUGAGAAGCUGCCUGACCAAGUUGCCUAUCAAGAUGAACAUUCCAUCUCUGGAUUCUGCUUGCGUGGAAUUUAUUUCACCAUAUAUUUUUCAAUGCAGCUAGAAAGUACUGGCUUUCUAUCUUGAAUCCGGUGGCCCCAGAAGCAAGUGCUGGCAAGCAGGCCAUGCGCUUUUGGUCAUUAAUUAAUCCGCGUUUAACCUGUUUGUAUACAGCGAGAACAUGUAAUGAAUAAUUUCAUACAUGUGCGUGGCUGGGGGCCGAUCAUUUUUGUAAUAAAGCUUUAUCAGUUGUAUAAAUAAAAAAGUAACAUUGGUAUGACA